RNAcentral lists this ribosomal RNA (252 nucleotides) under uncultured microorganism. RNAcentral's name for it is "partial 16S ribosomal RNA". It matches the Rfam family "Bacterial small subunit ribosomal RNA", at positions 524 to 776 of the family's 1533-position model. The record is from RNAcentral.
UACGUAGGGGGCAAGCGUUAUCCGGAAUCACUGGGCGUAAAGGGUGCGUAGGCGGACUUUCAAGCCAGGGGUGAAAGGCAUAGGCUUAACCAAUGUAAGCCUUUGGAACUGGGAGUCUUGAGUGCAGGAGAGGUAAGUGGAAUUCCUAGUGUAGAGGUGAAAUUCGUAGAGAUUAGGAGGAACACCAGUGGCGAAGGCGGCUUCCUGGACUGUAACUGACGCUGAGGCACGAAAGCGUGGGGAGCAAACAGG